GGUCACUAUACAUAUAUAGCAUAUUUCGCAUGUAUUUACUACGGUAAAUCCGUAUGUGCAUCCAUAUUCACGAGAUAGAAAAAAACACGAAAUUCUACUUUACGAUUUAUUUCAGUGGUGCAGGUUGUCAGUUGUCGUCGUCGCGCGCUGCAUAUUGUUUACAAACAAGAAAAAAGGAAAACGCACACGAAAAGUAGCGAUUGCGUUCCCGGUCCUGCUACAGACGGCGUUCAAGACAGCGCACCCGGUUCCAUCACCGCCACUAGCAUUCCAAGGAACCGGCAAAUGAAACCGGGACCGAGUUCUUUAUCAAGUAUCAAGCUGGUUCGCAGUCCCAACAGACGGAAGUCACAAUCACUUUCCGGUAAAAUUAAGAUGCACCCCAGGAAAAUUUCCUGUAGCCGGAGUUGAACCUGCUUGAGUGGAUUCCGGAACAGUGGCCCAGAAAUGGUUCUUCGACAAGCAAGUGACUGCCGGAUACAACCUAUCUAUGGAAUGGGAGCUGCCACGGAACGGGACGUGUGGGGCCAAGGAACGAACAGGAAUCUUUACUAAAGUAGAUCCAGACCAAGGAAGAGUCAAUUUUGUCGCAAUAGGAUGAUUUAGGGUUUGCUAUGGUGACAACAACGGUCAAGAAGUUCGAUCCGGCCUCGAUGCGCCGCGGAAACCAACCUGCAGGGAACAUUUCGUCACCAGGUAGACUACGACUUAGUUUCAACGACGUAACAGUAGUCCCUGCUGCUGCUCGUGCAAGGAUUAUCAACCGCCGGGACGCUAUCUACGCAGCCGCCGCCACCUAAGGAACAGCGCUCCCUGUCGCUGAUGGCCCGCUUCUUGUCAAUGCUGAUCGAGCACCGGCGGCAAGACGUUAGCGACCAAGCCAUGAAGAAGGCGGAUGCUGGAAAAAAUGGAUCGGGUCUGGGCCGGUGAAUACGUCGUCAUAAGCAUCGCGAGAAGAACGAGCUAAGUACUGUGCGAAGUACUCGUACAUUCUGACCCUAGUGAUAACACCUGUGGCAAUUUAAUUCAAUUUAACAUGUAUUAAUCAGUACCAAAUAAAAAGGCUGGUCAGGGUGUUUUUUUUGCUCGGAGAGUCCAACUCUUUUCGCUACGCCUCCAAUCGACGGCACCUUUUUUGUCGGUGAACAGGUUAUGGCGAAAACGAUAAGACAUCAGCAUUCGCUUUAGAAAAAUUAGUCCCCAGGUUGAUGUUCUGCAACUUGAUAAUCGCGAGGCGGACAUGAUCUGACGGUUGUGCACGGAUAACGUAACCGACAAUACAAGAGUGCCAAGUCCCACAGACGCAAGCGUGGUGAUUAUUGCAUUCGAUCGUAAUAUUACGAUCGUAAUUUCUCGACUCACGAUCGAGAUUUCUCGAUAGUAAGAUUACGACUUACCAUCGACAAAUCUCGAUCUACUAUCGACAAAUUACGACUUACCAUCGAGAAAUUACGAUCGUAAUUUGACUGUUGAGAAAUCUCGAUCGUGGAUCGAGAAAUUACGAUCGUAAUUUGUAAUACCGUUUUUUUGAA
This is a long non-coding RNA of Culex pipiens pallens (northern house mosquito), 1532 nucleotides long. RefSeq lists it as uncharacterized. Lineage: Eukaryota; Metazoa; Arthropoda; Insecta; Diptera; Culicidae. The transcript is spliced from 3 exons. The record is from RefSeq and is a predicted model, not a curated record.